CCUACGGGAGGCAGCAGUGGGGAAUAUUGGACAAUGGGCGAAAGCCUGAUCCAGCCAUGCCGCGUGUGUGAAGAAGGCCUUCGGGUUGUAAAGCACUUUCAGUGGGGAAGAAAGCCUUGGGGCUAAUACCCUCGAGGAAGGACAUCACCCACAGAAGAAGCACCGGCUAACUCCGUGCCAGCAGCCGCGGUAAUACGGAGGGUGCGAGCGUUAAUCGGAAUUACUGGGCGUAAAGCGCGCGUAGGCGGUCUGAUAAGCCGGUUGUGAAAGCCCCGGGCUCAACCUGGGAACGGCAUCCGGAACUGUCAGGCUAGAGUGCAGGAGAGGAAGGUAGAAUUCGCGGUGUAGCGGUGAAAUGCGUAGAGAUCGGGAGGAAUACCAGUGGCGAAGGCGGCCUUCUGGACUGACACUGACGCUGAGGUGCGAAAGCGUGGGUAGCAAACAGGAUUAGAUACCCGGGUCGUC
Molecule: ribosomal RNA, 465 nt
Filed under: Vreelandella stevensii
Lineage: Bacteria; Pseudomonadati; Pseudomonadota; Gammaproteobacteria; Oceanospirillales; Halomonadaceae
Description: partial 16S ribosomal RNA
Rfam family: Bacterial small subunit ribosomal RNA
Source: RNAcentral